Molecule: non-coding RNA, 3613 nt
Organism: Oncorhynchus mykiss (rainbow trout)
Lineage: Eukaryota; Metazoa; Chordata; Actinopteri; Salmoniformes; Salmonidae
Source: RefSeq, a predicted model, not a curated record
ACACUGAAGUGGAUUUAACAGGUGACAUCAAUAAGGGAUCAUAGCUUUCACCUGGUCAGUUUGUCAGGGAAAGAGAAUGUUUUGUACUCAGUGUGUUUUUGCUGUUUUAAGAACAUUCAGAAUUUCUAUUUGACGAUGGGAUCAAGUUCUAUUGUUUGAUAUUCCAUUUGAGACUUUAGUCAAUAUGUUGGUCUGCCCUGUAAUUGAAUUUACUGUAGAAUCAAAGCUGAGGUUUUUGGCUUGUCACACCAUAGAUUGUGCAGAGAUAUAUUUGCUGUCACCUACUUACAGCCAAGCCAGCACUAUAUGCGUUUUAAUAGAUUCAUUAUUAUGUAAUUUUCUUAAUUUAAUCCUUUUCCCAUUUUUGUGUUUUCAAAAGAGCAAUACUUCAUAGAGAAAUUAACAUCCUCCUAGCUGACUUAGAAGACCCUGAGUGUUCAAAUCCUGCUGUGCCUGGUGCAUCACACAGUUGGAGUGUGAGGAAGGAACUCUCACAGGAUAGGUGGAGAGAGUCCAGGCCUGAGAUUGUAGAUUCUCUGCUGGUUGCAGAGCAUGCUUCUCAGAAGAUCUGUCAGUCAUGCAAUGUGAAAAGGGCUAUUCUGCGAUGUAGAGACCGUCUGCCGAAACAGCUUUUACUGUGAAGACUGCGAUGUCUCUACACAUGCAAAGUUCCCCCUGCACAACAGACCGUCCAUGAUCGAGGGGUUCUACACGACCCUUGCUCCAACUACAGCCAUAUCUCUCCACAGUGAUGGCAAAUAUGCACUUCACGAACAGGGUCGCUACAAUGUUACAGUGCCUCUACUGACCUGCACAACCUGUCUUAGCACCUGGACAGCAAACUUGGCAGAUCUGUUUAAGAAUGGGUACUGGCCUGCCACUGUGAACUGUGACACCAUAUACCAGGUAGAUCUGUUCAGCUCUUUUGAGGAGCUGAAAGUGUCAGCCCCAGGAAUGUCCCAUCUGGCGUUUAUGUGGAUUUUGGAGCAGCGAACUGACUUCUUUGGCAGGGUAACAAUCAAUUAUACUCAGCUUUACCAAUGUAUGACUUCAGGUUAACUAUGUUACAUUUUGUUACAACACUUUGCGUAACAUAACUUUAUUUCCAGUACUACAACUAUGUUAACAUUUUAGGUCUCUUGCUACAGUACGUGUUAGCCUCCUGCACCACUGUCCUGCCAUGCACCUUAUCUGUGCCCCUCUUGCAUCCAAUAUUUCCUGCUCUUUACAACAUAAGUACUCGUCCUACUUUUGCGUUGGCUUUCACCUGCUUUGCUGUCAACACUAUGUACUGGCCCUGCGUUAACUUAAAUCCAGUAAGCCAUAGUGAAUUAUAGUAUGUUUUGUUUAUACUAUUGUUGAAAGUUAUUUCAUAUAUUUUCUAUGUGUUUUUCCCUUACCAGAAUGGAAUGAUCUGUGGGGACACUUUUCAAAAAAGCUUCUUUGAGUGGACGUACUUCCGCUCUGAAGUUGAUCCAGUCUGUGAUAUACAGGACUUUGACUGCCCAGCCUGGUCUGUGAUAUACAGGACUUUGACUGCCCAGCCUGGUCUGUGAUAUACAGGACUUUGACUGCCCAGCCUGGUCUGCGAUAUACAGUACUUUGACUGCCCAGCCUGGUCUGUGAUAUACAGGACUUUGACUGCCCAGCCUGGUCUGUGAUAUACAGGACUUUGACUGCCCAGCCUGGUCUGUGAUAUACAGGACUUUGACUGCCCAGCCUGGUCUGUGAUAUACAGGACUUUGACUGCCCAGCCUGGUCUGCGAUAUACAGUACUUUGACUGCCCAGCCUGGUCUGUGAUAUACAGGACUUUGACUGCCCAGCCUGGUCUGUGAUAUACAGGACUUUGACUGCCCAGCCUGGUCUGUGAUAUACAGGACUUUGACUGCCCAGCCUGGUCUGUGAUAUACAGGACUUUGACUGCCCAGCCUGGUCUGUGAUAUACAGUACUUUGACUGCCCAGCCUGGUCUGUGAUAUACAGUACUUUGACUGCCCAGCCUGGUCUGUGAUAUACAGUACUUUGACUGCCCAGCCUGGUCUGUGAUAUACAGGACUUUGACUGCCCAGCCUGGUCUGUGAUAUACAGUACUUUAUAUCAUUUAAACAAUCCAAACAAGGUUUGCCUUUUCUUUGUCCAGUGUGAACGUUUUCAAAUGCAGUGGAGUUCAUUUUUAGCUUAAACGUUUUGAGUUUGUAAUGUAAUGAAUUAUCAACAUUGUCAAGUGUCCCACAAUCAGUUACUGAGGUUGAUUGAUAUUUCAUAUGUCAUAUAUUUAAUGUAUUUCACGCAUCCUUUCAAGGGCUGAUGACAAAGGAUUCUUUGAUGGCGUAUUUAUCUGCAAGGAUGAGGAUGUGUCUGACUUUGUGAACUAUGUCCAUAGAAAGACUAAACAUGUACGUUUCCUGUGUAUCUUCUAAUCUGUGAAAUAGGACUGGCCUCAAAGGCAGACUCGUUAUACACUAUUCCAAUAAAAACACAUCAUUUUGGAGAGAUGGUCAUCCUCUCUCUUCAAGUCCAGGGUUGUUACACCACUCCCUCUGUUCAGAAAUGCAACACACUUUACAAGCGCUUCUUUUUGACAGUCAAUUUCCAACUUCUGAUCUCCAUUGUAGCGACCACAGCGGGUAGCUCUGCGCCCUCAGCUAGAUUUUAAAAACCUAACCACUGUCCUGUUAACAUUUCCCCCCCCAAUUUUUUUCUUCUUCUACCUAUACUCUUCUACUUCCUUGUCUAGGGUUAUGGAAAAGGGUUAUGUGGAGCAUCCCAGUGGACAGCAGCUAAAGAGUCGUCAAGGGAAACAAACAACAAACUUGAUGAAGAGGGACUCGAAGUUGCCGUCUGCCGCCACGGAAUACUUCUAAGGAGCCUCAACAUGAUGCGUGGAGAGAUAUUUGCGUACCCACUGUUCUUGCAGAAGGAAUUGUCUGGCAGCAGGAACAUACAAUUCAUGUGUACGGAUGUGAUCUGAAAAUGUUGGCCAUACCUGACCAAAGUUGCUUGUCAUUGUCCAGAGCUCGCCACUCUUCUAGACAUGAAGCCACUCCUUUCCGUCAUGCAUGCAAAGGCACAUCAUUUGAAAUGCCAGAUUAAGUGGGGAGGACGGAAUCAGGAAGGAGCUGGCACAACUCUGGGGAAGGAAAUGGAACAAGGGUGCAGCUUCUUGUCGAGGGCUGCAAUCUGUUCCAAACAAGUGUCCAAAGGAGACAACAGCAAAAAUCCAGGAGGAGACCCACACUCUCGAAAAGUUCAAGAGUGAUUUGGGUUUAGGCGAUGAGUCUGUAUAACUGGACAAAGGAAGUUCAGCAAUGGGCUAAUACAGGUAAAUGAAUACAACAAAUAAAUAAUCCUAAAUGUAACUUGACGUAGUGGACAGGCUUGCGUACUCCAAUGACCCUGAGAGCUAACCCUUAGAGGGUGUUUUCCACCGGCAGGUGCAAUCAAGCCGGACAGGUGGAAGGGUAGGAUGCAGACAAACAUUCCCUGGUUAUCCAGGUUGGGGCUCACUCACCCCCCACAUAACAAAUCAUAUACCCCCAUCGCGACGUCCCCCAAAGACUAACUUGCUAGCCCCUGCUAACUGCUAGCUUGCCUGCCCGGUCUGCUAACUGUU